CUGUGACUUGUUGUGGUGAUUUCCCAAUCGUUGCGACUCGAACACCCCGUAUAUCGUGCAAGUGUAAAUAUACACAAAUAUCGUGCCGUUGGUCGAGUGGUCGAAGUUGGGCGUGCAGUGGAAUGAUGGAAUAUGAAGAAAAAAACAUGAAAUCGGACAAACGAUCCGAUAGAAAGCAUGCAGGUGCUCCGUCGAUGGAAGAGUCGACGACGAUGAAAGAAGGAGGCCGACAGGCGCAAAUAGAGACAGCGGACACAGUGGCUACGAGGGAAUAAAAGCAACAGGACGGGGGAAAAAAAGCAGUCGUUAGACACCUUGCAUACGUGCUUUUGGUCUUUGUCGCGGCUACCAAUUGGUCGGGGACUUACUUGAGUAUGCGCGAAAACAACCAGUCCGAAGAACACUAAUUUUAUGAGCAUUUUCCCGUCGUCGGAGCGCGCGCGCGUUCGAUUUGUCGUCAAAAAAAAAGAAAAAAAGAUAAAAGAUUUUGACAAUGCCAAAUGACGAAUCGACUUUGUGAUGUACCACGAGUCAGCGGAAAAAUCAAGUUUAAGGGCACUCUCUUUUGACUCGAUCGACGUACUUACGUACGUAUACGUAUUCGCGCAACUCGAUUUGACACUAUUCGAUCGAUCUGUUCUACAUGAGUGGCGUAUUAAUUGUAAAAUUACAUGUAUUUAUGUGGAGUGGUUAAAACGCGACGAAUGUACGGAUGAGAUAAAGUUUGCUGUAAUAUAUUCAAUUGAGUCUUUGAUACGGUGUAUGAUAUCGGCCACGUUUCGUUUGCCAUACGCUUCGACACUUGCCUCCACAAAAUUGGAUAUUCUAAUAUAAAUUUUUCGUAAUGAAGGAAGAUUGAAAAAAAGUAGAGGGUUCACGUGCGUCUGUAGACACUAAGUGACGAUCAUUAAGUGACAAUCGGUGAAUUGACGAGUAUUCGCAGGUGUGCCUAGAUGCUUUUGGCAUAUUUUAUUGUUAUCGGGCUCUCGAUGGCUGCUUGUGAGAAACGAACCUGCUCUCGGCGCUCAUUUUUUCUCCGAGUCAAAAGCGUUGGAGAUAUUAAAACAAUUAUAACGACGACGUUUCGUAAAACUCUUUGAAAAAUUCGUCAGCGAGUAACAAAACGACUGGAACGAAGUGGUGAAUUCUCAGCCAGAGUUUAUUCUACCCAAAAGACUAAUUUGUUUUUAAAUUGUCUAUUCAAACUGAUGGGGAUGUUCAGCGAAGCGAGGAAAAGGCUGUUACUAUGGAACGGAGGCCUUUACAAAAGAGAUAUUCACGGCUUCUCCGUGCUUACGUCAGAUUUGAUCAUUUUCAAUAACUCGAUGAUGAAUCAAGUGUCGCUGAUCAAGCACCGAUUAACGAGCCUCAUACGCGGGCCGAAUUUUUCCUCAAUUAAUACAAUAAUCGGUUAAGAAUUAUUGAUGCAAGGAAUCCGAGGUUCAGUUACACGUACGGCCGCUUUUUUGUACUGUUUCUUCUGCGAUAGCGUUGUCUUUUGCAAUUCCAGUCAUUCAAAGCUGCUAUUCGAUAAUUCGAUCGAUUAAUAGAAAAUAUUGUCAAGCCUCGGAGUCCUAUAGAAUUCCUCAAUAGGAUCCUCCUUAUCUACAUCAUUUUAUUAAUGUUACAUCAUUUUAUUAACAUUAUAAUUAAAAUUGAAACUCUGAAUUCUGCAAUUGGCAUGAUUCGUACCAUGCGUCAGGCUCGUGUAAAAAUAUGUUCUAUGGGCCGGAUUAUUGGCCGAAAAAUCGUGAUAUAAAAACGUCGAAUUUAUUCCGAAACGAUAGAAACACGUUGAAACAGUUAGCUUUAUAAAAUUCAACAAACAAGUUGUGGAGCACGUUUCAAAUCUUAUCUCUGUCAAAUAACUUCGAGCUGGAUUCCUAUCGUUAGCUGCCACCUUUUUUCACUAGAAAAUAAAAAAAGCACGGGGAAAAAUGAAUAUUCAAUAAUUUCACUUAGAUUUAUAAACGAGCAUGUGGUUUUUAAACUUUUUCUCGAAUACGAAAAUUCGCAUUCGUGCCCCUCGUUUUUUCAAUUUGAUGGCCAAAGUGUUCGUACUCACAAAAAAGGCGUUCUGAAUUAAAAAAUUGUAAAUUCUUCAAUAAAGACGCUGGGAGCGAGUGUCUCCGAGUGAAAUUCGAGCUCUGACGUGUGAAAAUAAAUGGGUCUCGCCGUUUGGUCUCAUUUAUUCGGUAUAUGGAAGAGAAAUUAAGCAAAUUCGAGAUUGCCUUCGUCGACGUUGUCUACUUGGAUAUGAUUAUUUUAGACCAACUGUUUUAUUACAAUAAAACUGAAAGCUUUUAUUUUUC
Molecule: long non-coding RNA, 2312 nt
Filed under: Venturia canescens
Lineage: Eukaryota; Metazoa; Arthropoda; Insecta; Hymenoptera; Ichneumonidae
Description: uncharacterized LOC122413455
Source: RNAcentral